RNAcentral lists this small RNA (584 nucleotides) under Pan troglodytes (chimpanzee). RNAcentral describes it as "processed transcript". The record is from RNAcentral. Lineage: Eukaryota; Metazoa; Chordata; Mammalia; Primates; Hominidae.
CGUGCAGCUGAGAUCCUGGCGCGAGAUGGUCCCAACGCCCUCACUCCCCCUCCCACUACUCCUGAAUGGAUCAAGUUUUGUCGGCAGCUCUUUGGGGGGUUCUCAAUGUUACUGUGGAUUGGAGCGAUUCUUUGUUUCUUGGCUUAUAGCAUCCAAGCUGCUACAGAAGAGGAACCUCAAAACGAUAAUCUGUACCUGGGUGUGGUGCUAUCAGCCGUUGUAAUCAUAACUGGUUGCUUCUCCUACUAUCAAGAAGCUAAAAGUUCAAAGAUCAUGGAAUCCUUCAAAAACAUGGUCCCUCAGGUACCAGACGCUUUGUCCUUCCCCAGUGGAUGACUUGACAGCCCCAAGCAUGUCAGCCUGUGAAUUAGUGUGAAGUUAAGGUUUUCCAAGUAUUACAUGACUCAUCAGAGAGAUGGAUGUCUUCUACCCCACCCAAAACCAACCUAUUUUCCUUCUAUCCAAAAAGUGGUAGCCUUUCUUUUGAAUGUAAACUCUGAAUACAGGCACACCAUGUAACAGCAGUAUCUCUUAAACUGGCGAGCAAGCUUUUGUAACUUGUGUAAAUAAAAAAGUGAAUAAUA